Molecule: ribosomal RNA, 504 nt
Filed under: uncultured bacterium
Lineage: Bacteria
Description: partial 16S ribosomal RNA
Rfam family: Bacterial small subunit ribosomal RNA
Source: RNAcentral
AUUGAACGCUGGCGGCAGGCCUAACACAUGCAAGUCGAACGGUAGCACAGAGAGCUUGCUCUCGGGUGACGAGUGGCGGACGGGUGAGUAACGUCUGGGAAACUGCCCGAUGGAGGGGGAUAACUACUGGAAACGGUAGCUAAUACCGCAUAACGUCGCAAGACCAAAGUGGGGGACCUUCGGGCCUCACACCAUCGGAUGUGCCCAGAUGGGAUUAGCUAGUAGGUGGGGUAAUGGCUCACCUAGGCGACGAUCCCUAGCUGGUCUGAGAGGAGGACCAGCCACACUGGAAGUGAGACACGGUCCAGACUCCUACGGGAUGCAGCAGUGGGGAAUAUUGCACAAUGGGCGCAAGCCUGAUGCAGCCAUGCCGCGUGUAUGAAGAAGGCCUUCGGGUUGUAAAGUACUUUCAGCGGGGAGGAAGGCGGUGAAGUUAAUAACUUCACCGAUUGACGUUACCCGCAGAAGAAGCACCGGCUAACUCCGUGCCAGCAGCCGCAGUAA